This 166-nucleotide small RNA is filed under the name Arabidopsis thaliana (thale cress). RNAcentral describes it as "ATSL211340". Lineage: Eukaryota; Viridiplantae; Streptophyta; Magnoliopsida; Brassicales; Brassicaceae. The record is from RNAcentral.
UUUCAUAUUUGAUUCGUUUAGUUAAUCUGUUGUCGAUCUACUACUAUCACAGAACGUGUGAUCCCAAACGGAUACUCAUAGCAGAUCUAAUGAAUUUCUUUAGUUUUUGUAAAAAAAUGUUUCUUAUUUUUCAAUUAAUUUUGGUAAAUAAUUUAAUUAUAACAUU